AGUGCGGAGCCAACCGCGGGUGUGAAUGGUCGUGUGCCAGUCCCGUAGAGUGCUCAUCCUUCCCAGUCAGAGGGUUGUGUGUUUCCCCGCUCUCACGAGCGGAUAGCAUCCGAAGCAAAAUUUUGCAUCAGAAGAUAUAAACAGAUAUAUUGCGGUAGACUUUCGGAAGUGUGUGAUCAUGGUGGUUUUCAAAGACGAGCUGAAUGCGUCAGUUUUAUUUGUGGUAUUUCUCGGACACCUAAGCACAAUUAGAUGCUCCAGGGAUUACUCUGAGGUUUUUGACCCAUUGCCUCCCCCCUUUUCAUCCCACUCGAAAAUCAAGGAUGAUGCUUUGACAGACUAUGCCAAGGCAGAGGAACCAGCUAGACAGGCUAUUAGUG
Molecule: long non-coding RNA, 380 nt
Organism: Macrobrachium nipponense
Lineage: Eukaryota; Metazoa; Arthropoda; Malacostraca; Decapoda; Palaemonidae
Exons: 3
Source: RefSeq, a predicted model, not a curated record